Molecule: ribosomal RNA, 253 nt
Filed under: uncultured bacterium
Lineage: Bacteria
Description: partial 16S ribosomal RNA
Rfam family: Bacterial small subunit ribosomal RNA
Source: RNAcentral
UACGGGGGGGGCAAGCGUUGUUCGGAAUUACUGGGCGUAAAGGGUUCGUAGGUGGCCCGCUAAGUCACACGUGAAAUCCCUCAGCUUAACUGGGGAACUGCGUGUGAGACUGGCAGGCUUGAGUGCAGGAGAGGAACGCGGAAUUCCAGGUGUAGCGGUGAAAUGCGCAGAUAUCAGGAGGAACACCGGUGGCGAAGGCGGAUCUCUGGGCCGUAACUGACGCUGAGGAGCGAAAGCAUGGGGAGCGAACAGG